Non-coding RNA from Trichonephila inaurata madagascariensis, 73 nucleotides. The record is from the annotation of a GenBank genome assembly. NCBI's taxonomy places the organism in Eukaryota, Metazoa, Arthropoda, Arachnida, Araneae, Nephilidae.
ACCCUCGUGGCCUAGUGGAUAAGGCAUCGCUCUCCGAAACCGGGGAUUGCGGGUUCCAGUCCCGUGGAGGAUG